GUUUGGAUAGCUCAGUUGGCUAGAGCGCGGCGCUGAUAACACCAAGGCUGCAGGUUCGAUCCCCGUAUGAGGACA
This is a non-coding RNA of Podarcis lilfordi (Lilford's wall lizard), 75 nucleotides long. The record is from the annotation of a GenBank genome assembly. Lineage: Eukaryota; Metazoa; Chordata; Lepidosauria; Squamata; Lacertidae.